This 133-nucleotide small RNA is filed under the name Atlantibacter subterraneus. RNAcentral describes it as "Atlantibacter subterranea RtT sRNA". It matches the Rfam family "RtT RNA". Rfam says of the family: This family represents a bacterial cis-regulatory element known as RtT RNA. The exact function of RtT is unknown although it is thought that it may be involved in changing the cellular response in relation to amino acid starvation. The record is from RNAcentral. Lineage: Bacteria; Pseudomonadati; Pseudomonadota; Gammaproteobacteria; Enterobacterales; Enterobacteriaceae.
UGCUUUCCGGGGCCGACGAGGAUUUGAACCUCCGGGGGCAGGAGGUUCGAGUCGAGCGCAGCGAGACAACGUUGCGCAGCAACGGCCCGCAGGGUGAGCCGCGCAGCGGCAAGUCAUCCUCUAUCACCGACCA